CCUACGGGUGGCAGCAGUGGGGGAUAUUGCACAAUGGGGGAAACCCUGAUGCAGCGACGCCGCGUGGGUGAAGAAGCGCCUCGGCGCGUAAAGCCCUGUCAGCAGGGAAGAAAAUGACGGUACCUGAAGAAGAAGCCCCGGCUAACUACGUGCCAGCAGCCGCGGCAAUACGUAGGGGGCAAGCGUGAUCCGGAGUUACUGGGUGUAAAGGGGGCGCAGACGGGGAUGCAAGCCAGGAGUGAAAGCCCGGGGCCCAACCCCGGGACUGCGCUUGGAACUGCGUGGCUAGAGUGCAGGAGGGGCAGGCGGAAUGCCUGGUGUAGCGGUGAAAUGCGUAGAUAUCAGGAGGAACACCGGUGGCGAAGGCGGCCUGCUGGACUGCAACUGACGUUGAGGCCCGAAAGCGUGGGGAGCAAACAGGAUUAGAUACCCCGGUAGUC
Molecule: ribosomal RNA, 440 nt
Filed under: uncultured bacterium
Lineage: Bacteria
Description: partial 16S ribosomal RNA
Rfam family: Bacterial small subunit ribosomal RNA
Source: RNAcentral